This 330-nucleotide unclassified non-coding RNA is filed under the name soil metagenome. Its description in RNAcentral is "partial contains 5.8S ribosomal RNA, internal transcribed spacer 2, and large subunit ribosomal RNA". The stretch from base 1 to 120 matches the Rfam family "5.8S ribosomal RNA", at positions 35 to 154 of the family's 154-position model. The record is from RNAcentral.
GAUGAAGAACGCAGCAAAAUGCGAUAAGUAAUGUGAAUUGCAGAAUUCAGUGAAUCAUCGAAUCUUUGAACGCACAUUGCGCCCGCCAGUAUUCUGGCGGGCAUGCCUGUUCGAGCGUCAUUUCAACCCUCAAGCACAGCUUGGUGUUGGGACUCGCGUUAAUUCGCGUUCCCCAAAUUGAUUGGCGGUCACGUCGAGCUUCCAUAGCGUAGUAGUAAAACCCUCGUUACUGGUAAUCGUCGCGGCCACGCCGUUAAACCCCAACUUCUGAAUGUUGACCUCGGAUCAGGUAGGAAUACCCGCUGAACUUAAGCAUAUCAAUAGCGAGGA